This 492-nucleotide ribosomal RNA is filed under the name uncultured bacterium. RNAcentral's name for it is "partial 16S ribosomal RNA". It matches the Rfam family "Bacterial small subunit ribosomal RNA", at positions 29 to 507 of the family's 1533-position model. The record is from RNAcentral.
AGUGAACGCUGGCGGUAGACCUAACACAUGCAAGUCGAACGGCAGCACAGUAAGAGCUUGCUCUUACGGGUGGCGAGUGGCGGACGGGUGAGGAAUACAUCGGAAUCUACUUUUUCGUGGGGGAUAACGUAGGGAAACUUACGCUAAUACCGCAUACGACCUACGGGUGAAAGCAGGGGAGCUUCGGACCUUGCGCGACUGAAUGAGCCGAUGUCGGAUUAGCUAGUUGGCGGGGUAAAGGCCCACCAAGGCGACGAUCCGUAGCUGGUCUGAGAGGAUGAUAAGCCACACUGGAACUGAGACACGGUCCAGACUCCUACGGGAGGCAGCAGUGGGGAAUAUUGGACAAUGGGCGCAAGCCUGAUCCAGCCAUACCGCGUGGGUGAAGAAGGCCUUCGGGUUGUAAAGCCCUUUUGUUGGGAAAGAAAAGCAGCAGGUUAAUCCCCCGCUGUUCUGACGGUACCCAAAGAAUAAGCACCGGCUAACUUCGUG